RNAcentral lists this long non-coding RNA (333 nucleotides) under Medicago truncatula (barrel medic). Its description in RNAcentral is "long non-coding RNA (MTRU_LNC004150)". The record is from RNAcentral. Lineage: Eukaryota; Viridiplantae; Streptophyta; Magnoliopsida; Fabales; Fabaceae.
UCAUAAGUCUUAGCUCAAUUGGUAAAAAUGUCGUAAUUGUCAGGCCAGAUGUCAUGAUCUGGGUUCGAAUCCCAGUACCUUCAUUUUGUGUGUGGGUUUAUUAUGCCUGUAAUUCUUAUUUAAUAGUACUCGUCUUUAGUGAAAGCAUGUUCCGGUAUGUAAGAACAAAUAUUAAAGAGAAUGUGUAAAGAGACAUUCCUUGCUUGGUUGAACUAUUUCAACUAUGUCAAUCCCAUGUAUAAUAAUAAAUCCUCAUCCUAUCUUGUCUCAUAUUGAAGGAUAAACGUAGAUUUUAUCUCUAGAAAGCAAGAGUUACUUCUAAGGAAGAGUAAC